UGGGCAAACAGCUUGUCAUGAAGUCCCUGGGUGAUGCUGUGGAACUGCUCCCCACCAAGCUAGGCAGGACUUUGGGGAGCCUCCUCUCCCUUGGAGCAGACUUGUUCAGGGC
Gopherus evgoodei (Goodes thornscrub tortoise) is the source of this 112-nucleotide long non-coding RNA. RefSeq lists it as uncharacterized. The record is from RefSeq and is a predicted model, not a curated record. Lineage: Eukaryota; Metazoa; Chordata; Testudines; Testudinidae. The transcript is spliced from 3 exons.